UUUUUUCUCAGAAUAUUUUUAAGCAUGCCAAGAUAACUAAGUUUGUUAUCUAGACUACUAAAGCAGGCACCAAGAAGGUGCGUCGUCAGAGUGAGUUUAUUGGAUAUGUGUCUCAAGGUAGAGAUUUUUCAAGUUCUGCGACUUCUGGUAGCCAGGUAUCAGGUCAUACGGGUGGGUGGAGGUUUCAGGAUUGGUUCUUCAGGAUAGGGUGGUCGUUCUAGUUCAUCCGCACCUUAUCAAAUUGAGUCAGGCCAGUGAGGAUGUUUUGUAUGUGAGGAGUUUGUCCAUGUGGCCAAGGAUUUCCCUUGACGUUUAUAUGGAUCCACCCGGCGGGAUUCUCAGCUUCAGUUUUGCCGUACUUCAAUUUUUCCAAUGAGAGGCGGUUCACAGAGUGGUAAGGGUGGUGCCAGUGGUACUAACGGAGCUAGAGAUAGAGGUAGAGGUGCUUGUGAAGGUGGUGACGGGGUUACUUAGUCCAGAAGCAGACAUGAUCAGCGUUAUGUAUAAUUGGGCGACCCAUGGUAGAGGCUUCUGAUGCAGUUAUUACAAGUAUCACUCCAAAUAUUAAAAACGUAUCUCGACUCCAGGGGAGGCUCAACCCUUUCGAAGAAGAGGCGGCCGCAUAAGACCUCCAAAAUUUGAGGG
RNAcentral lists this long non-coding RNA (645 nucleotides) under Capsicum annuum. RNAcentral's name for it is "long non-coding RNA (CANN_LNC008912)". The record is from RNAcentral. Lineage: Eukaryota; Viridiplantae; Streptophyta; Magnoliopsida; Solanales; Solanaceae.